RNAcentral lists this ribosomal RNA (498 nucleotides) under uncultured bacterium. RNAcentral's name for it is "partial 16S ribosomal RNA". It matches the Rfam family "Bacterial small subunit ribosomal RNA", at positions 30 to 523 of the family's 1533-position model. The record is from RNAcentral.
AUUGAACGCUGGCGGCAUGCCUUACACAUGCAAGUCGAACGGUAACAGGUCUUCGGAUGCUGACGAGUGGCGAACGGGUGAGUAAUACAUCGGAACGUGCCUAGUAGUGGGGGAUAACUACUCGAAAGAGUGGCUAAUACCGCAUGAGAUCUACGGAUGAAAGCAGGGGAUCGCAAGACCUUGUGCUACUAGAGCGGCCGAUGGCAGAUUAGGUAGUUGGUGGGAUAAAAGCUUACCAAGCCAAGGAUCUGUAGCUGGUCUGAGAGGACGAUCGGCCACACUGGGACUGAGACACGGCCCAGACUCCUACGGGAGGCAGCAGUGGGGAAUUUUGGACAAUGGGCGAAAGCCUGAUCCAGCAAUGCCGCGUGCAGGAUGAAGGCCUUCGGGUUGUAAACUGCUUUUGUACGGAACGAAAAGCCCCGGGUUAAUACCCUGGGGUCAUGACGGUACCGUAAGAAUAAGCACCGGCUAACUACGUGCCAGCCGCCGCCGUAA